UACGUAAGGGGCAAGCGUUGUCCGGAAUCACUGGGCGUAAAGCGCGCGUAGGCGGUUUGGUAAGUCGGGUGUGAAAUCCCCGGGCUCAACCCGGGAACUGCGCUCGAAACUGCCUCACUGGAGGAACGGAGAGGUGCACGGAAUUCCCGGUGUAGGGGUGAAAUCCAUAGAGAUCGGGAGGAACACCAAUGGCGAAGGCAGUGCACUGGACGUUUCCUGACGCUGAGGUGCGAAAGCGUGGGUAGCGAACGGG
Molecule: ribosomal RNA, 253 nt
Filed under: uncultured bacterium
Lineage: Bacteria
Description: partial 16S ribosomal RNA
Rfam family: Bacterial small subunit ribosomal RNA
Source: RNAcentral